Molecule: small RNA, 40 nt
Filed under: Lacticaseibacillus paracasei
Lineage: Bacteria; Bacillati; Bacillota; Bacilli; Lactobacillales; Lactobacillaceae
Description: Lactobacillus paracasei Bacillus-plasmid
Source: RNAcentral
AUAGUAAACGGUAACGAUUACGGUUUACUAUUGUAUCGAA